GACCUGGGAAUAGCUCCUGGAAACGGGUGGUAAUGCCGGAUGCUCCGACUCCUCGCAUGGGGUGUCGGGAAAGAUUUCAUCGGUAUGGGAUGGGGUCGCGUCCUAUCAGGUAGUCGGCGGGGUAACGGCCCACCGAGCCUACGACGGGUAGCCGGCCUGAGAGGGCGACCGGCCACAUUGGGACUGAGAUACGGCCCAGACUCCUACGGGAGGCAGCAGUGGGGAAUAUUGCACAAUGGGCGCAAGCCUGAUGCAGCGACGCCGCGUGCGGGAUGACGGCCUUCGGGUUGUAAACCGCUUUUGAUCGGGAGCAAGCCUUCGGGUGAGUGUACCUUUCGAAUAAGCACCGGCUAACUACGUGCCAGCAGCCGCGGUAAUACGUAGGGUGCAAGCGUUAUCCGGAAUUAUUGGGCGUAAAGGGCUCGUAGGCGGUUCGUCGCGUCCGGUGUGAAAGUCCAUCGCUUAACGGUGGAUCUGCGCCGGGUACGGGCGGGCUGGAGUGCGGUAGGGGAGACUGGAAUUCCCGGUGUAACGGUGGAAUGUGUAGAUAUCGGGAAGAACACCAAUGGCGAAGGCAGGUCUCUGGGCCGUUACUGACGCUGAGGGAAAGCGUGGGGAGCGAACAGGAUUAGAUACCCUGGUAGUCCACGCCGUAAACGGUGGAUGCUGGAUGUGGGGCCCGUUCCACGGGUUCCGUGUCGGAGCUAACGCGUUAAGCAUCCCGCCUGGGGAGUACGGCCGCAAGGCUAAAACUCAAAGAAAUUGACGGGGGCCCGCACAAGCGGCGGAGCAUGCGGAUUAAUUCGAUGCAAC
Molecule: ribosomal RNA, 813 nt
Filed under: Bifidobacterium pseudocatenulatum
Lineage: Bacteria; Bacillati; Actinomycetota; Actinomycetes; Bifidobacteriales; Bifidobacteriaceae
Description: bacterial SSU rRNA
Rfam family: Bacterial small subunit ribosomal RNA
Source: RNAcentral